GUGAAUCAUCAAAUCUUUGAACGCAAAUUGCACUCUCUUCGGAGAGUAUGCCUGUUUGAGGGUCAGCCUAAAAAAAAAAAUCGACAUAGUCGCUUUUUCUCGGUGCCAUUCUUCUUAAAUUUUGUCAUCUUAAAUCUUUUUGUUUUAAGCGGUCUAAAAUUUUCUUUUCGAUUCCCCGAACGUUUC
This 186-nucleotide unclassified non-coding RNA is filed under the name Glomus sp. Its description in RNAcentral is "partial contains 5.8S ribosomal RNA and internal transcribed spacer 2". The stretch from base 1 to 65 matches the Rfam family "5.8S ribosomal RNA", at positions 84 to 154 of the family's 154-position model. The record is from RNAcentral. Lineage: Eukaryota; Fungi; Glomeromycota; Glomeromycetes; Glomerales; Glomeraceae.